AGAGAGGAUGGAACAGAGGGAGUUG
RNAcentral lists this non-coding RNA (25 nucleotides) under Cricetulus griseus (Chinese hamster). The record is from RNAcentral. Lineage: Eukaryota; Metazoa; Chordata; Mammalia; Rodentia; Cricetidae.